Papaver somniferum (opium poppy) is the source of this 3341-nucleotide long non-coding RNA. RefSeq lists it as uncharacterized. The record is from RefSeq and is a predicted model, not a curated record. NCBI's taxonomy places the organism in Eukaryota, Viridiplantae, Streptophyta, Magnoliopsida, Ranunculales, Papaveraceae. The transcript is spliced from 12 exons.
CCUACGGCAACAAAGGCGAGAUAUAUGUAGGAUCUUGUUCUAUCUGAGAAAUCCACUAUUCAUAAAGAUUGGUUGUUCUGUUGGUUAUGUUUUUAUAAAUUCUCGAUUUCAUGGUAAAAAAAGGAAUCGCCCGGGAGGGAGUUGAUAGAUCAAAUGAGUUAUUGAUUGAAGAAGAAACAUAAAGAAGAUAUGUAAGAAAAAGUUGUUGGAAGAAAUUUUUUGGGUUAUAAAUCAAAGUUGUUGUUCCUAAAGAUACAGAAGACCAAAAAGAAGAGAAGGAAGAAAAAACAAAAUGGUUCAUUUACUCAUCUUCUUUAGUAUAGGCGGACUCGGAAAAGCUAGCAUUCUCGAAACUUUCUAAGCAUCUGUAGUGUCUGUGUGAACCACUAUAAGGGCGAAGAGAAAUCCAUUCAGCUGAUAAAAUGUGAAACUAGGUCCAAAGCUAGUAGUAACAUUCAUUGCGACAAUUCUGCCGAUAUCGUGUUUGACCAGUAUUAAUGAUGAUUUGUUUCACACCAAUUGCAAGCCUUAUGCCUGUUCAGCUUAAUGCGGUAUUAAUUAGAUUAGAUAGGCAUGAAUCUGAGUUUUCAAAAUGAGCCACUCUCAAAUGUGAGGAUGGAAGGGAGAUUCUUGAAAGAGAGUUUUGUUGAAAGAUUCCUGGAUUUGUUUUGGUAAUAGCUUUAUCACCAGGGACUGGACAUCUUCUGCAAUAAAUGAUUAAUGAUUUAUCAUCAUUAGUUCCGCAAACAAGCACAAGCUCAUUUGGUCACAAUGAGGUAAACUCCGAUUGCAUUGUCAAGAGCAGAAGCCACCAAAAAACCAAGCACACAAUUGGUAGUAAGAACUUCCUUUGAUGCAAUGCUGAAAUGGCUCAAAACAAUGGAGGGAACCCGCCAGCUGAAGGUUGAUAUAUACAUUGAGACCCAUGCAAAUAAAGACAGUAGAAAAGCGUCUGACCGAAUUUCUGAAGGCUACAUAGCACAAAUCAGGGAACAAAAUGGAUUUGAUGAGGUUGGUAGCACAGCUCGUCAGAUGUCACUGCGGUUUUAGUAUUUGCUUAAAGAACUGGAUGGAGAUUUUGAUAUCCCAACUGUUGAAGAUUUCGAUUACUGUUUUCCUGAUGAAAACCCAGUACUGAAAGUAGGUGAAGAAAAAGAAAUUGGGGAUCAAGGGUGAAGAAAAAGCUGAUCAAAGAAGGUCAAAGUUGGGAUACUCCUGAAAAUGGUAAUGAAGUUGAAGUUCAUUAUACCGGGACUUUAUUGAAUGGAAUUCAGUUUGAUUCGAACCAUGAUCAAGGAACCCCAUUUAAGUUCAAAGCUUGGGCAAGGUAUGAAGGUUAUUGAAGUGCAUGCUCGAUGGGUUGUUUUAGUUGAAAUGGUUAGAGAUUUUUGGCGCGAUGUCUUGUUGAUUAGGUCUUGUUACUGAUAUUGUUAUAGUAAGCUCGUUACGGCUUUAGGUUUAUUAUGUGGUUCUUGUUUCCCAAUGUGUAGUUAAGAUUUAAGGGUCAUGUUACUUAAAACUUAAAUUGCUUUUCGCGGAAUUGGAUUGCUUUAAAAGUUUAGUUUACUAGAGAAGUCAGUUGCAGAAGAUGCACAUUACUUUCUCGGUAAAGAUUUGCAUGGCUGUAUUCUGCUUCUGAUAUUUCUUUGAAGUCGAAUAAAAUAUUCAAAAACAUGACAUGGGAUAAUAGGAUGCUGCUGCUAAGUCUGUCGUAUUCAGAGUCUAAUUGAGUUCUGUAUUCUUGACUGAACUGAAUAUUCUCUCUUAUCAGGGUGGUUCAUGGAAAGUAUUUUAUGUCUGUAUAGGCAGACUGGGCAGUUUGUUUUAUUGUAUGUAACUGAAGUAAUUUUUUUUUGUAGUAAGUGCAUCAUUUAAAGAAACAGGUGCAAGCAUAAAGAAAGUAGUGUAUGGAUUGAAAAUAGUUGGAGAGUUUUGUACCAAUAUGUUGUCAAGUCUUUUUUUUUAGUAUGUGUGGUGUAAUAUUGGGUGAUCAAAAUAAAGCAAGAGACUGAAGAGUAUUUCGUGUGCAUUUGUUGACGUCAAUUUGUUAUCUGACGGAGGAAGUUUUCAAGGGAUGGCCUUUAGGUACCAAGACAGUGAAGAAAGGAGAAAAUGCAAUCUCACCAUCCCUGCGGAGCUUGCUUAUGGUGAAGCUGGUUUUCCUCCAACCAUUCCUCCUAGUGCAACUCUUCAGUUUAACUGGAGCUACUCCUGGUCUAGUGUGAAGGACAUUUGCAAAGACGAAGGGAUUGCCAAGGAGGUUCUAACUGAAGCGGAGACAUGGGAAAAUCCCAAAGACUUGGGCGAAGUUCUUGUGAUACAGUCAAAUAUGAGGCUCGACAUGAGUAUGGAAGUGUGAUUUCUCAAUCUGAAGGAGUUGAAUUCGUGUUAGAGGGUAUUUCUGUCUUGCACCUGAGAAGGCUGUCAGAACAAUGAAGAAGAAGGAGAAGGUUCUCUUGACCAUGAAGCCCCAUUGUAGGUUUUCUUUUCCCACCAGAUCUUCAUCUGUUUUUGUGACAUUUGCGGUCGCCUUUCUUGUUGGUGAGGUUGGUCAGUCUCUGGUCAGGAGGUAGCUUUUCCACCAAAUGAGACUCUUCUCAUUGCUCUCCUAGAAGAUUGUGAAGGAAGUAACUUCUGACAAGAAGGUCAUAAAGAAGAUUCUUAGGAGAGGCUACGAAAAACCCAAUAAUGGAACUGUUGCCGAAGAAUCUCAGCAAGACCUCGCUUUGUUCCUCCUGGUUCAACUGUCUAUUAUGAAGUUGAGCUUGCAUCUUUCGUUAAGGAUAAGGAAUCGUGUGAUAUGAGUAAUGGUGAGAAGAUUAUAGCUGCUAGCAAAACGAAGGAAAAAGGUAAUGCUUGUUCAAGGCUGUAAAUGUUCAAGAGCCUCUAAGAGAUACGAGAAGGCUGCAGAUUUUUCGAGUACGAUUCUCCCUUCAGUGGAGGAGAAAAAGCAGGCUAAAACUCUUAAGGCCAGCUGCAACCUCACGAUGCAGCCAGCACGCUGAAACUUAAAAGCCACAAGGAGGCCGAGAAGCUUUGCACAAACGCCUCAUGGAAGAGAAAAUAAGAAUUCUUGCCGGUUGGUCGGUCAAUAACUCAGUCUCAGUUUGUCCUCUGGACUUAAUUUCGUACAAUAUUAUAAGAAAUUGUGCAAAACACAGUCAAAAUGAGUUUCACUACGAAAUCUCCUAAAAUUCUUUGAUCACUCUUUCCAAAUAUGUAUUGCUUUUCCCUGUAGUCUGUUUUUAGAUUGUCUUCCUGUAAUUUAUUGUUACGGGUUAUCUGGAUCUCCAUCAACUUCAAACUUAAACUUCAGUAAUUUCUUGAGUAUUUGUAUUCUG